This is a non-coding RNA of Paramuricea clavata, 73 nucleotides long. Lineage: Eukaryota; Metazoa; Cnidaria; Anthozoa; Malacalcyonacea; Plexauridae. The record is from the annotation of a GenBank genome assembly.
GACCGCGUGGCUCAGUUGGCAGAGCAUUGGACUAGUAUUCCAAAGGUCGUAGGUUCGAAUCCCACCGUGGCCA